Molecule: long non-coding RNA, 627 nt
Organism: Trichechus manatus latirostris (Florida manatee)
Lineage: Eukaryota; Metazoa; Chordata; Mammalia; Sirenia; Trichechidae
Exons: 2
Source: RefSeq, a predicted model, not a curated record
CCCCACUUUUUUUUUUUUUUUUAAACUGAUGUAGCAGCUGUGUGAUUUCUGGCAAGUCCCUACCCUUCUCUGGCCCUCAGUCUCCUCCUCUUCAGAAUAACAACCUCCACCACCAUCCUAACAGCAAGGUGCCGGGGCCCUGCCACAGACCAGGAAUUCCUCCAUUCCUCGUAACACCUUUAUGAGAGAUUACGAUUGUACCACCUCACAAGCUGUAUGGGAACCUACUCUGUCCAAGGCAAGGCGGGCUCAGGUUCUGCCCCCAGGUACGUGGCACUGAGGACACUGGUGCUCCACCGGCUAGACUUCCCUGCCCAACCCCACAGACCCCCCCACACCCAGCACUGUACUUGCUGUGGCUCAGAGCCCCCUCCAUCUGACCAGCAGCCAUCUAUGAAGCCAAGAUGCUGAGCCUUUGCCUCCCAGUUGCCAAGAAAACCCAGAAGAAGGGGAGGGGAGGAGAGAGAAGAAGAUCCAACCAGAAGAUGGAGCCCAACACGUGAGAGGGGUGGAGUGAGAAAAGAAGCUGGUGGUCCACAUGGCACCUCAUGUGCUCCAAGCCCCUCAGCUGGCAGAGGGGAAACAGACCCAGAGAAGAGGAUGAUUUUCUCCAGGUCAGCUGGCUAA